UUUGGAAUGUGUGACUGGAAAGUCACUUAAAUUAGGCUCCAGCGCAGGCCGGAAAGAAGAUGGGAGACACCGUCUCUGGGUGACAGUGCAUGGAUGCCGUAAGGAGGCGAUCGGUUCUCCUUUCAGCAAUCGAUCAAUUGAUGAUACACGAGAGAAACUAGACGAUAGAAUCUCUAAUCUUCCUGGAUAAUUAAUUCAAAGAGACAAUGCUCAUAUCUGAGGAAGAUAUUCUCAUGUCUUCAAUGUGGCAAAAGGUGGACAAUUCUGUGCCACUUUUGUGUAUCUCUUCAGCUGUGCACAAUGAGCGGCAGUGAAAUACUUUUGGACAAAGGACUGAAAGCAGGGCUAUGGCUGUGGGGAGGGCCAUAUUCCCUGUCACCUGGCUUUCUGUGGAAGAAAAAUAGAAAACGAACGGAGAUGCAAGACAGAAACCCAGGCUGUGCCUGAAGUCACCACGUCCACUGCUAAGCAGAUGAAACGGGGACACAGGUCAAAGUUGUGCGGUGUGCUGAGGCUACAAUAAGGAGAAG
Fukomys damarensis (Damara mole-rat) is the source of this 530-nucleotide long non-coding RNA. RefSeq lists it as uncharacterized. The transcript has 3 exons. The record is from RefSeq and is a predicted model, not a curated record. NCBI's taxonomy places the organism in Eukaryota, Metazoa, Chordata, Mammalia, Rodentia, Bathyergidae.